This 272-nucleotide unclassified non-coding RNA is filed under the name Phylloporus sp. Its description in RNAcentral is "partial contains small subunit ribosomal RNA, internal transcribed spacer 1, and 5.8S ribosomal RNA". The stretch from base 1 to 46 matches the Rfam family "Eukaryotic small subunit ribosomal RNA", at positions 1786 to 1831 of the family's 1831-position model. Lineage: Eukaryota; Fungi; Basidiomycota; Agaricomycetes; Boletales; Boletaceae. The record is from RNAcentral.
AAGUCGUAACAAGGUUUCCGUAGGUGAACCUGCGGAAGGAUCAUUAACAAUUUUUAAACCAUUUUCUAUGGAAAAAUUAAAAAAAUCCAUUACCUACCUUUAUGUGCACUAUAAAAAAUGUUUUACUUUUGGGAAUUGUAUAAUUUUUGACUUUUAGUUGAUUUUAUCCAUUCCCAAAGGUUUUUUUUUUCAACUCUUUAUUAUUUUGACUGAAAAUUUUUGUUAUAAUAAAAAAACAAAUAUAACUUUCAACAACGGAUCUCUUGGCUCUC